UUGGCAUGGCAUGCCUCCUCCUUUCGGAGAAAUUAACAAGGGCAAAGCCCCCUUCAGCCGUGCAGACACUCUGAACGGGAGCCUGUCAGCUUUGAGGGGACGUGGGCUGUGCAGGUUCCUCCCAGCCCGGGGCUACCUCCUCGGUCCUGGACACCAUCUGCACUCUGUCAGCCAGGUACGUGAGCUUCCCCUCGCAGUACGCCAGCUUGCUGUUCAAAUCGAGGGUGUCGGAGAGCACCACUUCUCUCUGUAGGCCGGGAGGAGGGUCUCAUCUCCCCUCUGGCCCUGCCCAGGGACCUGGUGUGUGGCAGCUCAGCCUCACUCCUGGUACCUGGGUCGCAGGCAAGGUGAUGCCCAUCAGCCGGACAUAGAGGUUGUCGAUGCCCAUCUGGAUGGUCAGCAGCAGCUCCUGGCCCUUGGUCAUGUUGCUGUGCGCCAGCUGGAGCCUCUCUUCUUCCUCUUUUAGCAUGUCUGUCAUCUUCUUCUCAACGGACUUGAAGCUGCAGAAGGCAAUAGGGACACAGCAGUGAGGGGCACAGCCCCGAGAGCCAUGGUGGGCCACCCAGGAGCCCAGUCCUGAGUUGGGUGCUGUGCCAGAAUCAGGGACUCGGAAGCUCAGGUGUGUGCAAGUGGAGCCCCCUGGCCCCUCUGUGGGACACACAGGCUUGUUGGCAGUGGGUACACUCCCAGCUCCCAGCCUGGCUGCAGCCCGGGGCCUUCGUGAGACUGGGGUGGGUGGCCCGCAGCCCCGGAAGCCCGGGGCACCUGAUGGAGCUAGGCUUCUGGCGGAACUUGAGCACGGCCUCCUCCAGCUCCAGCUGCUUCACCAGGGCCUUCAGCUGCACCCGCCGCUCCUCACAGUCCUCCAUCUGCAGCUCCAGGUUCUCCUCCGUGUUCCUCUGGGCCAGGAAGCGGCUAGCAAUGUCCUGGCCAGUCCGGGGGAGAGAGAAGCAGGUGUGGGCUGGGAAGGUGGGCAGAGGGGGCUUCACAGAACUGGUUUCUUCUGGGCCCCUCCUAGAGGCUAGUGCACUUUCUCUGUGCUCAUUCACAAGUGCGAUCACAGCUCACUGCAGCCUCAACCUCCCAGACUCAAGCGAUCCUCCCACCUCAGCUUCCUGAGUAGCUGGGACCACAGGUGUGCGCCACCACACUUAGCAGGAGUGAAGCGCUUUGUGGAUGUCAUUGCACACGACCCUAAUGGCAGGCAGAGAGAGUAGAUAACCCCAUGUAGAGAUAAGGAGAUCAUCACUGAAGGACGUUGUGUCACUUGAGUCACUUGUCUGACAGUGGACAAGCUUGUGUCAGGGCAGUGGUUGGGAGCUCAAGGCCUAAUAAUAAUAAACGCAGAUACGCAGAUGGGAUUAAGAUAAAAGGAUUUGGGGCGGCCGAGGGAGUUGCCACUUUGUGUGUCCAUUUCAGAGCGCCUCAGACCCCAGCCCAGCUCAGCCACCCUCCUGCCAUGCUCUGGGAGUGCCAGGGAGCAUUACCCAGACGUGAGAGGCUCAGCCACCCUCCUGCCAUUCUCUGGGAGCGCCAGGGGCAUUACCCAGACGUGAGAGCACUGUACAGCACUCUUGACCUUCUCCACCACAGCAGUCACGCCCGCCUGGUAUUCCAUUUCUCCUGUGGAGGUCUCUUUUCUCCUCACUGGCAGAGCAGAGGGGAGGGGCAGUCAGCAUGCAGGGAUGGCUCAGGGGCUCUGUGUAAGGCUGUCAGACACCUCUGUACCUGCCCAGCUGCUGGGGAGGCCACCCAAGACACAGGCAUCCUUCAGAGAUGCCUGCCCCACCCCCACCU
RNAcentral lists this long non-coding RNA (1797 nucleotides) under Pan troglodytes (chimpanzee). Its description in RNAcentral is "long non-coding RNA NONPTRT018011". Lineage: Eukaryota; Metazoa; Chordata; Mammalia; Primates; Hominidae. The record is from RNAcentral.